AUUGAACGCUGGCGGCAGGCCUAACACAUGCAAGUCGAGCGGAUGAAGGGAGCUUGCUCCUGGAUUCAGCGGCGGACGGGUGAGUAAUGCCUAGGAAUCUGCCUGGUAGUGGGGGAUAACGUCCGGAAACGGGCGCUAAUACCGCAUACGUCCUGAGGGAGAAAGUGGGGGAUCUUCGGACCUCACGCUAUCAGAUGAGCCUAGGUCGGAUUAGCUAGUUGGUGGGGUAAAGGCCUACCAAGGUGACGAUCCGUAACUGGUCUGAGAGGAUGAUCAGUCACACUGGAACUGAGACACGGUUCAGACUCCUACGGGAGGCAGCAGUGGGGAAUAUUGGACAAUGGGCGAAAGCCUGAUCCAGCCAUGCCGCGUGUGUGAAGAAGGUCUUCGGAUUGUAAAGCACUUUAAGUUGGGAGGAAGGGCAGUAAGUUAAUACCUUGCUGUUUUGACGUUACCAACAGAAUAAGCACCGGCUAACUUCGUG
This 484-nucleotide ribosomal RNA is filed under the name uncultured bacterium. RNAcentral describes it as "partial 16S ribosomal RNA". It matches the Rfam family "Bacterial small subunit ribosomal RNA", at positions 30 to 507 of the family's 1533-position model. The record is from RNAcentral.